UGUUCAAGUAGAAGCUGUGCUACACCUUGCAAACUGCAAAGCAGCAUAAGGCACCUGGAGCUUCUAGAUUCAGGUCUAACUGACAGAGACUGCCAUCUCAGAGGACAGUUCAUGGCAUGUAUAUUUGUUCCCUGCUCUGAGUCACCUUUUAGGAAACCAACUGCUCUCCAUUAACUGCACUGGAAGUCUAAAAGGAGAACCUUCUACAGCCAAAUCAUGUGAAUAUUCUCCUCCUGUCAAAAGGAUAUCAGUUCUACAUGAGAGAAAACGCUGCCUCUGCUGACCUCCGAAGUAUUCCUCUCUGGACACACAGAGCAUUUUGCCUUCCCCAGACCUGCUAACACGAAGUGGCUGCUCUGAUAGGACCAGCUCUGUCAUGGUAGCAGGAGACUUGAAAAACUGAGGUUGGAAGCAACAAAUGGGAUUCUACUGAUAAUCCAUGAGGACAUGCAAGGCCCCACAAUGUCACGCCUCUUCCCAUGCUAUCAGUACAUCUUACAGACUGAAUAAGACUCAUUCUCUUUCCUUCUGCACUUGAAACUGAACGCAAGACUCCACUGUCACCCACCUCAUUAAUACCAGCCCCAGACGAGAUUCCUGAGAAUGCCUGGAAAACCUAGCGUUCCUCUCUUGACAAGAAGUCAGUAAGUGUGUUUUUAAAAUUGAUUUGCUCUCAAACAUUUUAUUUCUUGCUUAGAUUUCUUUUGUAGAUAGUAACGUAAGUUGCCUAAUAAUGUGUUCCACUAGCAUGCAUCAGAAUUCUCUCAACUGAUCUGUGUCUGAAAGGUAUUUCAGUGCCCUUUGGGUCUUCUCUCAACCUUCAAAAGUACAGAGAUAACCAAAGAUGAAUCCUAAAGUCAGCUCCCUGUAUUUGUACGUUUAAGCAAGAUUACGAUGUUAGAACAUAUUUAACUUGUGUUCUAACUACUAUUUUUCUUGUCGUGACCUGCACUCCAACUCCUUUAUUUUGGGAUGAAAUUCUUUAAGCAUGCUCACAGUUAGCUUUCAAAGAAAAAUAAAGCAGAAGUUGUUAAUGUCUCUGUACAUCAUGUGCUGGUUUUGCCCACUAAUGAACCUACACCUUCCUCAUCUCUCUAAUGUGUUUGCAGAACCUCUCCUUAUUGCCAUAAUAGUUGUAGCUUGUUUCACUAGAUUCCUCUUACCCCAACUGUUCUGUAAUCCUUUCUGUCAGCUUGCUUCCCCAUAAGACCUUACCUGCUGUCCCCAGAGUUUAUUGGGGUCUGUAUGUCUUUUAGAUAUGGCUGUUCCGCUGUUCUUGCCUUUUUUUUUUUUUUUUUUUAAAAACGCACAUAUGUCAACUUUUCUUACCAUUUUCAACCCUUCUCAACUCACAUCUCAAUAUAAACAGUAAAGUUUACUCUCUACUAUUCAAUAUAUUCCUAUCAUUUUCAGCUAUGGAUAGGGCUACAUCUGCAGGCACGGUAUUAUCUCAUUAAAACAAGCCCUUUGUGUGAACAAAUGAACAGUGAAAACAAACAACUGUCAAGAAUGGCAGAUCACGUUGUCUGUGUGGAAAUAAACACGAGGCAGAAAAGCAGAUCAGGAGAGAAACCAAUCCCCUUUGGACCUGGUUUGCAGAAAGGCACCUGCAGUGGAGUAUUUUGGGGCAUGGUUUCUCAUGAAGAGGGCACGUCUCAAUCUGGAAGCCGGACUUGUUACUCAAGCUCAGAACUCUGUCAAAAAGGUAUUAACCCUGGCUGCUUUAGAGAGACCAACAUUAGCUGUAAGUGAUGCCUAUUGGAUGCCAACUUUAGAAUGAAAUAGCUGUAGAUAAAAAAGAAUUAUGAGCUCAUGAUUAACAUAAGCUAAAAUGAGUGAUCACCUAAAUUGUCUUGUUCUCACUUCAGAAGUAGAGAGGCACUUACUUUGGAAAAGCCUAAGCAAAGCAAAGCAAAGCUGCUGUAAUGUAGAACUUAAAGUUCAGGCAGGGGGACAGGGGACAACAACGUAGACCAACUCACAUGCUUGAGCAGGGAAGAUUUCUGGGACUGCAAUUUAGCUCACAUUAGUGGAUUGGAGCAGAGAACAAAAAUCAGCUUGGUUAGUUACCAAAUAGAAAGGUUAGCUGCCAGCACAGGAAAAUGGACAUCACAAAUUAGGAUUAGGCAGCAUCAGGAGUAAGAUGUUAAGUUUUGUGAAUAGCUACUUCAUAACACCACAUUAAAGACGUUACACACCUUAGAUGUCCUAGAUUAAAAGGAUAUUCUUUAAUCUAUAUCAUUUGCCUCUUUUGCUGGAAGAAAAUCCAGCCUUUACCCAAAUACACCUUGCAGUGCUGUCAGUCAUUAUUACAGGACUACCCUAA
Molecule: long non-coding RNA, 2326 nt
Organism: Cygnus olor (mute swan)
Lineage: Eukaryota; Metazoa; Chordata; Aves; Anseriformes; Anatidae
Exons: 3
Source: RefSeq, a predicted model, not a curated record